AGAGUUUGAUCAUGGCUCAGGAUGAACGCUGGCGGUAUGCCUAACACAUGCAAGUCGAACGAUGUCUUCGGACAUAGUGGCGGACGGGUGAGUAACGCGUGAGAAUCUGCCUCUAGGAUGGGGAUAACGGUUGGAAACGACCGCUAACACCCAAUAUGCCGUAAGGUGAAAAAUUUAUUGCCUGGAGAGGAGCUCGCGUCUGAUUAGCUAGUUGGUGGGGUAAGAGCUCACCAAGGCUUCGAUCAGUAGCUGGUCUGAGAGGAUGAGCAGCCACACUGGGACUGAGACACGGCCCAGACUCCUACGGGAGGCAGCAGUGGGGAAUUUUCCGCAAUGGGCGAAAGCCUGACGGAGCAAUACCGCGUGAGGGAGGAAUGCCUUUGGGUUGUAAACCUCUUUUCUCAGGGAAGAAGAUCUGACGGUACCUGAGGAAUAAGUAUCGGCUAACUCCGUGCCAGCAGCCGCGGUAAUACGGAGGAUGCAAGCGUUAUCCGGAAUCAUUGGGCGUAAAGCGUCCGCAGGUGGUUUCCAAAGUCUGCUGUUAAAGACUGGAGCUCAACUCCGGAACGGCGGUGGAAACUUGGAAACUAGAGUUCGGUAGGGGUAGCAGGAAUUCCCAGUGUAGCGGUGAAAUGCGUAGAUAUUGGGAAGAACAUCGGUGGCGAANGCGUGCUACUGGACCGUAACUGACACUCAGGGACGAAAGCUAGGGGAGCGAAAGGGAUUAGAUACCCCUGUAGUCCUAGCUGUAAACGAUGGAAACUAGGUGUGGCUUGUAUCGACCC
This 785-nucleotide ribosomal RNA is filed under the name uncultured marine microorganism. Its description in RNAcentral is "bacterial SSU rRNA". It matches the Rfam family "Bacterial small subunit ribosomal RNA", at positions 8 to 838 of the family's 1533-position model. The record is from RNAcentral.